This 433-nucleotide ribosomal RNA is filed under the name uncultured bacterium. RNAcentral's name for it is "partial 16S ribosomal RNA". It matches the Rfam family "Bacterial small subunit ribosomal RNA", at positions 29 to 507 of the family's 1533-position model. The record is from RNAcentral.
AACGAACGCUGGCGGCAGGCCUAACACAUGCAAGUCGAGCGCGCCCUUCGGGGUGAGCGGCGGACGGGUGAGUAACGCGUGGGAACGUGCCCUUUUCUACGGAAUAGCCUCGGGAAACUGAGAGUAAUACCGUAUACGCCCUUUGGGGGAAAGAUUUAUCGGAAAAGGAUCGGCCCGCGUUGGAUUAGGUAGUUGGUGGGGUAAUGGCCUACCAAGCCGACGAUCCAUAGCUGGUUUGAGAGGAUGAUCAGCCACACUGGGACUGAGACACGGCGCAGACUCCUACGGGAGGCAGCAGUGGGGAAUCUUAGACAAUGGGGGCAACCCUGAUCUAGCCAGGCCGCGUGAGUGAUGAAGGCCUUAGGGUUGUAAAGCUCUUUCAGCUGGGAAGAUAAUGACGGUACCAGCAGAAGAAGCCCCGGCUAACUCCGUG